UUUCCGUAGGUGAACCUGCGGAAGGAUCAUUAAAGUUAUAGUCCCCUGGCCCUCUGGGCUGGGGUCUUCUAUCCCACCCUUUGUUUAUUACACCUUUGUUGCUUUGGCAGGCCUGCCCUCGGGCUGCUGGCUCCGGCCGGCGAGCGCCUGCCAGGGGACCUAAACUCUGUUUGUCUAUAAUGUCUGAGUACUAUAGAAUAGUUAAAACUUUCAACAACGGAUCUCUUGGUUCUG
RNAcentral lists this unclassified non-coding RNA (234 nucleotides) under plant metagenome. Its description in RNAcentral is "partial contains small subunit ribosomal RNA, internal transcribed spacer 1, and 5.8S ribosomal RNA". The record is from RNAcentral.